Molecule: long non-coding RNA, 350 nt
Filed under: Capsicum annuum
Lineage: Eukaryota; Viridiplantae; Streptophyta; Magnoliopsida; Solanales; Solanaceae
Description: long non-coding RNA (CANN_LNC012770)
Source: RNAcentral
AUCCCUUGACUUUAAGAUUAUUGUCUUACUUUAUAUCGUCCUUACAUUAUAUUUUAGUUCAGUCGGCCGAUGAUUCCUACUGAGUACUCAUGUUUUGGUACUCAUACUACACUUCUGUACCUUUUUGGUGCAGACCCAAUUCUAGUUGCCAUCGUUAAGCUAGUUCAUGCGAAUUGACUAUUUGGAGAUAGAGUGAACUCUUGGAGAUCGAGUUGCCUUCUUUGCCCUCUACCCUUAUUUGUAUUUUGCUUUUGAGACAAAUGUAUGGGAUUAUUUAAGACAUUUUAGACUCUAAGAUUUUAAAUUUGUCUUAUCAUGUUUAGAAGCUCUUGUAUUAAUAUUAUCAGGUC